Molecule: long non-coding RNA, 554 nt
Organism: Adelges cooleyi (spruce gall adelgid)
Lineage: Eukaryota; Metazoa; Arthropoda; Insecta; Hemiptera; Adelgidae
Exons: 3
Source: RefSeq, a predicted model, not a curated record
GAUUCAGUUUUGAGAAGGUUAAAGAACAUAAAACUAUUUCAAGUGAAACGUUCGUGGAAGAAAUAUGGAAAACUUUUAAGUGAGUGUUCUAUGACAAAAAAGAAAUUAAAGAAGUACUCGAUCUUAUUGGUCAAAACGAAAUAUGGCCAAUGGAAUGGACUAAGUACGAGAAAAUAUUAAAAAUGUUGAAGGCUUCGCAAAUUAUGGUACAAAUAUAUGGUAGCUUUUGUUUAAUAGACGUGAACCGUAAUGGCGUUGUUAACGCUAAUGAAUUUGAAGGAUGGAUCGAUGUUCAUGUAAAUUAUGCUUUUGAGGAAUCAGCCACUGAAACGUUCAAGAAGCUAGAUUUAGACGGCAAAUACUUAAGAACAACAUAUUAGUGGAAAUUAUUAUUGAUAAACAUUAACAUUUUUUCAGGUGACGGUUCGAUUGAAUUUUACGAAUAUAUGACAGUAGUUAGUAAUGAUUUUAAGCUGUUAAGAAAACUAGACGUACUCUCAUAACUCUACUCUCGACUCAAGAAAAUAUUUAUUUAUUGAAAAAUAAAACAGUUU